GAUUUUAUUGGACGACACAGUGUCGGUAAUGAAAAUGAACGAAUGGGCUGCUCACACUUCGGAGGCCCUUGAACUGAUCCAUCGCAAUUCCCGGUGUGCCAAAUUACCACUCCAGCCCUGGUAACAAAACCGAAGGAGCUCCUCAGACUCACACACCAGACAAACACAAUGUGCAGGUACAGCUUGUCUGUCCGCUCACCUGCAGGUGAGGUCGGGAUUAUCAAAUUAAAUCACUCCAAAAAGCAGCAGAAGACCGUGAAAGACUUGAAGAUCAAAGCAGCGCAACUGUUUCCAAAGAAAGGAUAUCUUAUGGCUGAAUUCCGGCUGAUUGUCUCUGGAAAGCCGCUGGACGAUGACUCUGCAUCUCUGUCUGAAUAUGGGAUCAAACCCUCGUCUGUGGUGCAGAUGGUGACGAAGGUCCACGGAGGCUGACAAAUAUCAUCAUCGAUGCACUCGACUCCAUCCAAAAGAUUCACCUCAGGACUGAAAUGUGAUACACCAAAGGACUCGAUGCAUCAUCUUUGCUAGCUGGGACUGAACUGUGUCAUCUUUGAUCUUCUCUUCUACACUUUUGGGUCUUCCUUUAGAUUUUAAGACUUCUAUCAUACCCAUAUAGACUUCAGCACUAAUUUAUUAUCACAAGUUGUAAAUGAUGCACAAAUAUGGCAUAAUAAUAUUUCUUUUUUUUAUUUCUUUUUGUUUCAUUGAUAGCCUGUGUAACUUACUAGUAGUUGAAAUAACAAAAGCUGACAACAAAUGUACGGUUACGCAGCAGCCCCAUGAAUAUCAGUGUUCCUAAAAAAGUGAUACUGAGAUCAUUGGCUAAUAUUUACUUAUCUUGACUUUCCAGCUGAUUCCCAUAAAUGCUCUGCUUUCAUCUUCUUUAAAAAUAAAUGCAAUGAUUAUUGAAUUUAA
Molecule: long non-coding RNA, 915 nt
Organism: Oreochromis aureus
Lineage: Eukaryota; Metazoa; Chordata; Actinopteri; Cichliformes; Cichlidae
Exons: 3
Source: RefSeq, a predicted model, not a curated record